Malaya genurostris is the source of this 3152-nucleotide long non-coding RNA. RefSeq lists it as uncharacterized. The transcript has 3 exons. The record is from RefSeq and is a predicted model, not a curated record. NCBI's taxonomy places the organism in Eukaryota, Metazoa, Arthropoda, Insecta, Diptera, Culicidae.
GGAACAACAGCUUGACCAAAUUGGUAUCGCAUAAAGCAUGGCUGGUCUGAAAAUUUGUUUAUAAAUUAACAAUUUGUUUUUUAGACAGAGCUUAGAAUUUCUGUUUAUAAGAGGAUAUAAACAUUUAAUAUAUUUAUUACACUUUGCCUGGAUUUCUUCAAUGUGAUCCUUGAAAGUGAGUUUUGUCUGGAUUCAUACUAUACCUAGGCACUCUAAUUCCUCCUUUCGACUCACGACGCAAAAUACACUGGUGGCGUGAUAAGACAGUUUUGGUUGUGUUGGUAAUUUUCUCACGAAAUUUAGUAUGGCGCGCCGGGAUUCAAGCAUGUAAACAUAAACAAACGAUCAUUUCAGAUCGGGAUUUCACUUUAAGUUACUCCAGUUGUCGCGCAGCCUGGCGAAUCUUUGGCACUAAUUGAAAAUCUGGACAUUUUUUCUUCAAGGGCUUGCAAGAUAACGUUGAAAUAUAGAAAAUUUUACACACAUCCGACUCUAUUCAUUUCGUUGGAGGAAGGAUUUGGCGGACCGCACUGUGGUAUCUAUUACAGUUAUUAUGGAUAAUGGAGUGAUUGUUCUGUGGGUGGCAUUUCAAAUGCAGGUGAUGAAAACGAUUGAAACAUCGGAACAAAACACCGCAUUUCACUGUCAAUAUUAUCGCAAACAGAACCAACUCUAGAUAUUUUCAUAGAAGCAACUCCCGGAACGUCAUUUGUUUAGAUUUUUUCUUCUUCACGUCUCUCUGUUAUUCCAAAAUAAAAUGACAACCGCACUAACACAUAGAAAAACGUGAUCACCAGGGUAUUUUACAUCGUGCUUUCGACUCAUCCUUUUCGCCCUGUUGAUAUUUUGCACUUGCACUGAUCACAACAUUGUUCACGAUAGACUGACAGUAGUACGACCUGCUCACACUGUUGUUACCAAACUUAACGAAAGUAGUGAGAAAUUCAGUGAGGGGUGAGAAGAGUAAAGCGAUCUCAAGCAUAAAACUAUGUUCGGAGAAAAUUUUUUAUUUGAGUAGUUAAUUAUGCGAUUUGCUCCAUCAUUUCUCAUUCCAAAUCAACCUUCGUAGAGAUAGGACUGGCCACCGUCCGUGAUUAGUAGUUUUGUGUACUUGUAGAGUGUAUUGUAGUGAAUUGUAAUUAAAUAGAAGAAUACGUGUUUAAAUAAAUGUAGUGUCGUGUUAGAAUAAAAUAAAAGUUUAAUGUGUUAUGUGUGAUGUGUAGUGUUUUAUAUUUAUCACCAAACAUUGACCAGUUUAAAAGGCACUACUACUUAGGAGCGUAAAAACGCAAAACAAAUCACCCAGAGUUGAUCGCUGUGCACGAUAAAAUCGGGGCGGACCAAAAUACUGGUGGAACACCUAUUUGGAAGUUCCGCAUCUCAAUGUAAUUUUAAAUCGCUGAAAAAACAGCUUAUCCAACUUCGUUCAAGGAUAUGCGUUAACGGACCAUGAAAUAUAUAUCCGUCUCGGGAUCUCACUUCUCUUUCGCAAAUAUCAUGAGGUGCUCACUUACCGAAUGGAAUACUAGUACAGCUUGAAUUCUCAAAGAAAAGUAGUAGUUGGCAAUUAUCUGCUAUUCGCAUGACCUCCAUUGAAAGUUAUAUAUAUAUAUAAAUAAAUUUUAUAAAACUAGUCAUAUGGUAUAUAUGAACCUAUAUAAAUAAAUUCGAAGUGAAUAUAUAAGUUUUAUGUUUCAUAAGAUUAUCUCAUAUAUUUGACAUGAUGUUGAACACAUCUUGUAACUAUUAUUGGAAAUGCUAAUAGUGCAAAAUCAUUAGAAUAUCAUAUAAUGUGAAAAAGAAAAUUUAGCUCAUUGUAUAUAAACCUAUCUAUAUUAAUUCGAAAUGAAUAUAAUAUUUGCUUCAUAAAUUGUUUCAAUGUAUGUUGUGUGGAUAUCUAGUAAUGGUUAUAGCACAGACUAACAGACAGGACACUCAAAUUAGAUUCUUUAGCCAUAUCAACGGUCAUUUCGAAUAUUCCUUUAUUUGGGACAGUACUCACAUGUGUCAUGAUGGCACCACGUUACCCUAUCAAAAACAUUCUGCCUGUCAUCUAGACUGUGUUUAUUUUUUUCAUUUACCAACCGAGUUGCCAUUCAUACAGAAUUACCUGUAAAUGUAUUGAUUUGUAUACCUCCAUGCGAAUUUCAUGCAGGAUACAGAUUAAUUACAUAUUGCCAAAACUAUAUACAGAAUUGUGCCUACUUCUCAUCCUACAACGCAAUACAAAAUCGAACCCGUUUUGUUACAAUAUUUACUUGCUUCUGGUCUGCCGUCACUUAAUUUCGGGUGAAAAUUACCAACACAAUCAAAAAUAGUCUAGAUGAACAACGUUGAGUAAAAUAAAUGUUUACCUUCCAAGAUCGCUAAAAAAGUUAAAUAUAUUAUCAACGUAAUCCAAAAAUUUAUUGUGACGAUUCAUUUUCAAAUAUUUCGAUGAAAUCAGGCAACCCUGCAAGCAGCUGAUCGGUGUUGACAAACGAGGGGAAACCAACUAGUAAAAAAACUUUUACGUAACACAAGGGGUGUACAGAUAGUAAAUUGUUCGCGCAGUACAAUAUAGGUGGAACUAGUGCAUAACGAAAAAUUAUUUUUAUAAGAAUUUACUCAUACUGUCAUGUCUGUUAGUCUGUGGUUAUAGGGUGAUGCAAUAAAUUUGACUCAGGCUAAAAAUUUCAUUCGUUAUAUGAAAAUCUUGUAAAAAUAACAUUACGAAGAGUUUUAUGUUUCAUAAAAUUAUCUCAUAUUUUUGACAUGAUGUUCAAUACACUUUGUAACUAUCAUUGGAAAUGCUAAUAGUGAAAAAUCAUUAGAACAUCAUAUAAUGUGAAAAUGAAAAUUUAGCUCAGUGUAGUUCUAAUUCAUGAACUCUACACAUAACUUUUAUUAGGUCUACACUAGGACAGGACCUGACAAUUGUUAAUCCACUUUUAGGACCAAUUUCGGACCAGCUCGUGAUUGGUUGAAAUUGACAUAAGCAAGUACAAGUUGUUGAAAUCAAUAUUACUGCAGGGUGGUAGAAAAAGUGUUGUCAGUAUCGUCGGAAUGUAGCUUGAUAUUGGAUAUUUUAUUUUUCGGAUCAUCUUGUGGUGACCACCCGGCACUACAGCCCUGAAAGAACAGCUGAUAGUUUACAGUUGACUGUUAGAUCA